Molecule: ribosomal RNA, 253 nt
Filed under: uncultured bacterium
Lineage: Bacteria
Description: partial 16S ribosomal RNA
Rfam family: Bacterial small subunit ribosomal RNA
Source: RNAcentral
UACGUAGGCAGCAAGCGUUGUUCGGAAUUACUGGGCGUAAAGAGUGUGUAGGCGGUGUCGUAAGUUUGGCGUGAAAUCUCCCGGCUUAACUGGGAGGGUGCGCCGAAGACUGCGAUGCUUGAGGAUCGGAGAGGAAAGUGGAAUUUCUGAUGUAGCGGUGAAAUGCGUAGAUAUCAGAAGGAACACCUGUGGUGUAGACGGCUUUCUGGACGAUUCCUGACGCUGAGACACGAAAGCGUGGGUAGCAAACAGG